This 424-nucleotide ribosomal RNA is filed under the name Verrucomicrobiota bacterium. Its description in RNAcentral is "Verrucomicrobia bacterium partial 16S ribosomal RNA". It matches the Rfam family "Bacterial small subunit ribosomal RNA", at positions 355 to 776 of the family's 1533-position model. Lineage: Bacteria; Pseudomonadati; Verrucomicrobiota. The record is from RNAcentral.
UGAGGAAUAUUGGUCAAUGGACGAGAGUCUGAACCAGCCAAGUAGCGUGCAGGAUGACGGCCCUAUGGGUUGUAAACUGCUUUUAUAUGGGAAUAAAGUGAGGGACGUGUCCCUUAUUGCAUGUACCAUACGAAUAAGGACCGGCUAAUUCCGUGCCAGCAGCCGCGGUAAUACGGAAGGUCCAGGCGUUAUCCGGAUUUAUUGGGUUUAAAGGGAGCGUAGGCUGUUUGUUAAGCGUGUUGUGAAAUGUAGGAGCUCAACUUUUAGAUCGCAGCGCGAACUGGCAGACUUGAGUGCGCACAACGUAGGCGGAAUUCAUGGUGUAGCGGUGAAAUGCUUAGAUAUCAUGACGAACUCCGAUUGCGAAGGCAGCUUACGGGAGCGCAACUGACGCUAAAGCUCGAAGGUGCGGGUAUCGAACAGG